CAGGCGUCCGGGUUCGAAUUGUCACACCUCCUUUUUCCUAUCCUAGGAAAGGAGCAUGAGAGUUUUUUCUAAUUUAAGUGACAACUGAAACGAGAUUAUUUAUUUAUUUUUCAGAGUCAUCAUUUGGGAUAAUUUAUGGUGUUCCAAGUCACUGGUUUAAAUCCUGAAUCGAGACAAGAUUGACUGUAUUUUACAGUCCGCGAACACAGAAAUUCGGGUAAGGAAUUUUAUUAACCCGGGAGAAGGUGUUAGGCAUUCAGGGGUUCUGUGGUUCUAGCACGGUUACACAACUGUUAUUUAUUGGACUAUGAUCUUAUUCUAA
RNAcentral lists this long non-coding RNA (322 nucleotides) under Nicotiana benthamiana. Its description in RNAcentral is "long non-coding RNA (NBEN_LNC025568)". The record is from RNAcentral. Lineage: Eukaryota; Viridiplantae; Streptophyta; Magnoliopsida; Solanales; Solanaceae.